UUUGAGCUAGUGUCGUUAUCUUGUUACAUCAGUUAGCUCUGAAAGUUUUGACAGGGACCUAGAGAAUACAAGGAUACAAGAGAAGACCAGAAGCUCCCACUGAGGGCACCCAGCUGGAUUGGACAGUGGAGCAUGUGACUCUUGCUCUCAGUAUGAAGAGGAGACUUGGGAUUGGACUGCAAGGGAGGGUGUGUGGUCCCCAGCAAGAGCCGGCACAGUCAUGGAGAGCUGGCUUCCACCUGAGCAAGGCUACUUACCAGCUGGGGAACCCUAAGCCAUCAGUCACCGCCUCUGCAGAACUUGGAAUCAUUGCUGCUCUGUCCUCCUUUAUGGGCGGUCGCAAGGAGUAAAGUAAGAUCAGGUGACUCCAUUUGGGGCCUGUUGUCUCUUUAAUAGUCUCAAAAAUGACCGGAUGAAUUGACCCCUCCCCACUGGGGAAAGAAGAAUUACCUCUGCCUUCAAGAUCCUUCUAGAUGGACUAAGAAUCAAAUUGACAUGAGACAGAUUAACAAGAAAAUUCUGCAUGUAUGGAGAAUCCAUACAGACAUGGAAAUUCCAAAGACACUCAGGCAAAUAUAUGUCAUUCUGAACUAAGGAGAAGGGGCAGGGGUCUGGGACUUCAAAGGGAAGGAAUGCAAUUCGAAGGACAAUGAAAAAGAGUAAAUGUCUGGUCAACAAGCAUCUGCCGGGCCACUCAGAAGCCAUGGGACUUAGGAGUUUGAUCCCACAGGCCUUGCUAUGUUCCUGCCUGUCUCUCUUACCUAGUUCAUGUGCUAGUGUAGUUAUCUGUGGUGACAGUUCUCUUCCUGGAGCAGGGCCUCUAUCUAAAUUCUUCAAAGUAAUUGUGGGGGAGCAAAAAGUUUCUUCCUGAGUCUUUUGAGUCUUGAUUGUGUUCAGUUCAGCAUAAUCUGCAUGCCAUAGUGGGCUAUCUUAAGGCAGCCUGCCCUUGGCCCCUACACCACCACCCCCCAAAAAACCCCACUAACUAGACACAGAUAUAAAUUUUUUUUUUGAUCGGCUGACUGACUGGGGCUUCCCCUGAAGAUAGAAGCAACUCCACCUGUAAGAUCACCCCACCUAUAAUUUGCGUACUCCUCCCUAUAAAAAGUCUUAGGGGAAACCUGCAGUGACAUUGAUCUUGACAUCUAGAAGGCUCUUUCUAUUGCAACAGUCUGACUAAAGUCAGUUUCCUUACCUUAUUUGUUCAGGUUUAUUUGCUUUUGACACCCUGGUUCCUAAAACUGUAUAGGAUCUUUGCACAGAGCACGAAUCCUAUUAAGCAUUUCAGACUGAGUCACAGUGUUGGACAGUGGUUGAGUGUUCUCCUAGCUUAGGGGCUGAUGGAGAAAGGGAAGCUCUAAGGAGGCAGGACGGGAGAGCAGGACAAAUCUAGAGAUAGUUUGAAGAGAAUAGUGGAAGGUGUGUCUUUGUGAUGGGCAGAAAAUUCUCUAAAAGUCAUUUCCAUUCACUCAAGACAAUUCCAUAAGCUAAGACAUGCCACCUCCAGCUAUCUCAUCAAAACCCAGCCCUGAUCACUGCACUGAUCUAUUCAAAAGACUGUGGCUGUUCUCCAUUGACUUUGGGGUCCAGACCAAACUCUGUAGUGUGGCACAGAAGAUGCUUCACAACGUGAUCCUAUCCAGUCUUUCCCGUAGCUUCUCCCCACCAAUCCUCAAGCCACACCCUCCCCCAAUACAGCAAUACAAAUGAAGCAUCCAGUUUUGGGCGAGCGUUCCUGGGGAGACCUGAGCUCCACGCCCCAUAUUAGGACUCUGGCACGACUCCAGGAGCGCCGUUUACUGAGGAAAACCAGUGGCCCUGGGAGAAACGGGAAAAAACCAAAGUGGGAGCUCCGGUUAAUCCCGGGAACCUGGCAUUAAGGCAGUCCCGCUGUGGACCGUGCAUGGUAUCUGCUGGCCAUUAAGGGAGAGAGACGAGGGCCAUAGAAGAGCAUCGUGCUUCCUGGGAUACCCGGCGCGGACCGAAAGACAGCCUCCGAUUUUCUGGUUCUAAUCUCUCCAUGGCUUUGAGCUAUUUUACAACCUUUUCAGUUAGGGUUAGAUGCUGUCUGGUCCCACCCAAAAUUCUUCCAAAUCUACCCAGAGACAAGUUGUCUCAUCAUCUUGAGAGAGUCACAGGAGAUGGAGGGUUGAUGUCACUAUGCCAGGACUAAAAAAAUGAAUUGUGAAACAUCAUGAAAGAAGACCUUCUUCACCCUGGGAGCAGCUCCAGCAGCUGGGAAGACACCAGCAUCAACAGGUGGAGGAUCUGUGCCCAGCCAACGUGAACCGGACUGCCCAAGUUCAAAUCUGGCUUCACCUCUUCCUAACUACAUGAUCCUGAGCAAGUCAUUUAGCUCUCUUUCCCUCAGUUCGCUCAUCUGUAAAAUGUACCUGCUUUGUGGAGUUGUUCUGAGGAUUAAAUGAGUUAAUAUAUGCAAUGCCCUAAGAAUAGUUCCUGGUGAAGAAAACAAAAAUGCUAACUCAGGGGUACCCGGCUCUUGGUAGAGGAUGCAACUCUUGGUCUUGGGGUCAUGAAUUCAAGCCCCAUGUGGGCCAUAGAGCCUACUUUAAAAAAAAAAAAAAAGGCAACACUAACUCAAAAACCUGGGUGGCUCGGUCAUUGGGCGUCUGCCUUCAGCUCGGGUCAUGGUCUCAGGGUCCUGGGAUCGAGCCCCGUGUUGGGCUCCCUGCUCGGCGGGGGGCCUGCUUCUCCCUCUCCCUCUGCCAUUCCCCGUGCUUCUGCUGUCCUGCUCUCUCUCUGUCAAAUAAAUAAAUAAAAUCUUUAAAAAAAAAAGAUAUCUGCACCCCCAUGUACACUGCAGUAUUAUUUACAAUAGCCAAGAUAUGGAAGCAACUUAAGUGUCCACUGAUGGAUGAAUGGAUAGAAAAGAUGUGAUAUAUAUAUGCGUGUGAUAUAUACACAGACUGGAG
Long non-coding RNA from Mirounga angustirostris (Northern elephant seal), 2933 nucleotides. RefSeq lists it as uncharacterized. The transcript has 5 exons. NCBI's taxonomy places the organism in Eukaryota, Metazoa, Chordata, Mammalia, Carnivora, Phocidae. The record is from RefSeq and is a predicted model, not a curated record.